GAUGAACGCUGGCGGCGUGCCUAAUACAUGCAAGUCGAGCGAACAGACGAGGAGCUUGCUCCUCUGACGUUAGCGGCGGACGGGUGAGUAACACGUGGAUAACCUACCUAUAAGACUGGGAUAACUUCGGGAAACCGGAGCUAAUACCGGAUAAUAUAUUGAACCGCAUGGUUCAAUAGUGAAAGACGGUUUUGCUGUCACUUAUAGAUGGAUCCGCGCCGCAUUAGCUAGUUGGUAAGGUAACGGCUUACCAAGGCAACGAUGCGUAGCCGACCUGAGAGGGUGAUCGGCCAAACCGGAACUGAGACACGGUCCAGACUCCUACGGGAGGCAGCAGUAGGGAAUCUUCCGCAAUGGGCGAAAGCCUGACGGAGCAACGCCGCGUGAGUGAUGAAGGUCUUCGGAUCGUAAAACUCUGUUAUUAGGGAAGAACAAAUGUGUAAGUAACUAUGCACGUCUUGACGGUACCUAAUCAGAAAGCCACGGCUAACUACGUG
This 497-nucleotide ribosomal RNA is filed under the name uncultured bacterium. RNAcentral describes it as "partial 16S ribosomal RNA". It matches the Rfam family "Bacterial small subunit ribosomal RNA", at positions 28 to 507 of the family's 1533-position model. The record is from RNAcentral.